GACAGAGGGUGCAAACGUUGUUCGGAAUUACUGGGCGUAAAGCGUGUGUAGGCGGCCGUGCAAGUCGGAUGUGAAAGCCCUGGGCUCAACCCAGGAAGUGCACCCGAUACUGCUCGGCUCGAGUACCGGAGAGGUUGGUGGAAUUCUCGGUGUAGAGGUGAAAUUCGUAGAUAUCGAGAGGAACACCGGUGGCGAAGGCGGCCAACUGGACGGAUACUGACGCUGAGACACGAAAGCGUGGGGAGCAAAC
RNAcentral lists this ribosomal RNA (250 nucleotides) under uncultured bacterium. RNAcentral's name for it is "partial 16S ribosomal RNA". It matches the Rfam family "Bacterial small subunit ribosomal RNA", at positions 524 to 773 of the family's 1533-position model. The record is from RNAcentral.